Paramisgurnus dabryanus is the source of this 3011-nucleotide long non-coding RNA. RefSeq lists it as uncharacterized. The record is from RefSeq and is a predicted model, not a curated record. NCBI's taxonomy places the organism in Eukaryota, Metazoa, Chordata, Actinopteri, Cypriniformes, Cobitidae.
ACUACUAUUCGAUAGGUAGGCUACUCAAGUUUAACCAAACUGUUCGUGGACCCCGUUUACUUCCAUAGUAUUACUUUUCCAAUUCCUGCUAUAGAAGUGAAUGGGAUCCAAAGACAUUUAUGCAGGUUUGUAACAACAUGAGGGUGAGUAAAUGAUGACAGAGUUUUCAUUUUUGGGUGAACUAUUUAACCUUUUAUAGCUUAGCAGAAAAAUGUUAUGUGACCUUUAAGAAUAGGAUAAAGUACAUCUUUAACAAAAGCAAAGAUUAAAAAACAAAUUGUAGAAUAAAUAGAAAGUGCUACAAAACAAUACAAAAUCGUCCCACUAUCACAUGCAGAUGUGUCACUUUGCAAUGGGGCAAUGAUGAAUAGUACACAGAACAACCAAAUAAGUUUUUACGAUUUAUAAACAAUUUAAAGAUAUUUUAAAGUGUUAUGUACUGUUCUAAUUCCAGAGAUGUUUAUUUAUGUAAAUGGUGUGAGGCUUUACCAUGUAUAUAAUAGGCCAAUGGCUAUGCUGUGCACGCGAAACAUGUCCUGCCCCUUUAAAUCACGAAGGGAGUUACCAUGGAAACUGAAGGAGCACGAGGACAGCUAGCUCCGUCUCCCGCGGUUUCUUCGCUGUUUUCAAGUAAGUUUAGUCCAUCAAAUCACACAAAUAAUACUAAAACCUGUUGUUGACACGCUUUUGUUAUAUAUUUACCUCAUAUAAAUGGCUUGUGUCUUUGAGAAAAGUUCGUUACCAUCCCAACAUGUUUCCGCACAUGCGGUCGGAACUGUGCUUCCGGUUUCUGUUGGUUUACUUGCUAAACUGAUCUCUUGAAAAAAUAACUCGUCGAAAAUAUUUUUUUGUUUCCAAUGUAAUAUACGUGUUGUUAAUUUGCUUGUUAUAAGCUAGGACUUUGUUGUUAUUUUUGCUUAGCAGAGUUUAACGGAAGUUACGUGUUUUCCACAAAAGCCUCUUUACUGUAUGUAUGUUACUGCUGAAACCGUCUAUAAGCGUUAGCUUUUGCUCUUGUUUAUGAACGUUUGGGCUUUUGAAAACAUAGAUGAGAGGUUUCAAAGUCUUUGUUAACGUUGUCAGUGCAUGACUGGAAGUAGGCAAAUUUAUUUAGUCUAAAUAUGCGAUGUACUGUAACGUCUAAACCUUGUUAAAUUGCACGGAGUGCUGAAGCUACUAACGUUAGUACGUAUGUUUUAUCGUAUACAAAUACAGACAUGUUGUUCUCUGAUUUCAGGAGUGACAAAAACCCUCUAUAAUAGAAGAGAAGCUCAAGAUUUCAACAUUUUCUGAAGGGAGUUGCAGACAUGUGUAGAAAACUGCUUUUCAAAUUUUCCACAUUUAUCACAGUUAUUUUAAGAUGUUGACAUCUAAACAUUGAAUGUUAUGUUUGUAGAUUUGUCCAUGCUAAUGGCCGAGCAGUAGGGUUGGAACAGACCUGUCAGAAAACAUCUCUGAACCAUAUGACUAAUUUCAAAACAAUUUAUUCUUGAGAGGAGGCACCACAGUUAAAGACAGUGUUUUGAAGAAUUUUGAACUUCCUGCUCACAAACUACCUACUUCUCCAGUUAGUCUGACAGGCUAUCAAUGAGAAUGCGGCAUUACAGGACACCACUGAAAACUAUACCACUAAAAACUGAUUAUUGCUGCAGUCAGAAGAAACAGAUUAACAGCAACUAUCUGCUUGAGACCAAGAGAUUGAGCACUGGGUUAAGACAUGGUUGCAGCUUGCCACAGACAGAGAUGAAGGUCGUUGGGCAAAAGAGAAGAUUUAAAGGCAUAGCUCACCCAAAAAUGGAAACUCAUUUACUUACCAUCAAGAUGUUUCAAACUCUAUCAAAUGUAUUUGUUCAGUUACUGACUGUUAUAAAUUAUACAGGUUUGGAACAACCUUUGGGUGAGCAAAAUUACAGUUUUAAUUUUAAUUAGUGAACUAUCCCUAUUGUGAGUUUUAUAAGUUUAUUAAGAAAUGUUGAGUAUUAUAUCAGAGUUUUGUAUGUAAGGAGAUGGUAGUUGUACGUUUGUGUGUUAAUAUAGAUGGUUUCAGUGGCAACAACAUAAAUCACUUUCAUGGCCCAAACUUAACUUCGGGUAGACCUCCACAUAGAUUCAAUAACAACCGAGUAUCUCUGGAGCAGUUUUUUUUCUGAUAACAAACAAAAUAAAUAACCAGUAAAUAGCCUUAGAUCAAAUCAUAGCUAAAGCAUUUCAACCAUUACAUUGAUCUAAUGUUACUGGGUAAAAUUAAGCUUUACAAUUUUAGCUACAGAUCUUUGAAAAUGUUUGUACGGUAUACUGCCCAUUUCCAGAAAGGUAAUAAAAACAGCGUGCACGCUGCUGACGUGUUAUCCUCAGACAUGUUUGUGAAGAUUGUUUUGUUUAUAGUGUGCGUCUCCCUCAGACUGUAAAAAAAGCUUGGGCAAACAAGAUAACAUGUCAGCAGCGUCACUCCAGUGUUGUGCACGAGGUUCACAACAGACCUGGAAGAGAAGACGAUGCUGAAUAAAGUCAUAAUUUCUGUUAUUUUUGGACCAAAAUUUAUUUUCGAUGCUUCAACACAUUCUAACUGACCCACUGAUAUCACAUGGACUACUUUGAUGAUGUACAGUAUAUAUUUGAUCGUGUAUACACAUAUCUAAAACAUCUUAAACUGUUUCCGAAGAUGAACGGAGGUGUUACGGGUUUGGAAUGACAUGAGGGUCAUUAAUUACAUAAUUUUCAUUUUGGAUGAAAUAACCCUUUAAGUUUGGCCAGGUGUGUAACUGUGGCAACGCACAUGCAUCUAUGGGUUCCAGUAUAUCUUACUAUAUAACAUAUUAAUUUAACUAACAUGUUUGACAAAUAUAAUUAUGUUUAUUUAUAAAUAUUAUCUGUAUUGGAUUUUUUAAAUGUUUAAUAAAGAAAUUUUGACUAUAUGAGUUUUAGUUUUUUCUUAACUAUAGGUUAAUUAGCAUAUAGUAAGAGUAGAUGUGUGCCACAGCUUAGAAGACGCUACUGCAUGGAAUGACAGC